Molecule: ribosomal RNA, 253 nt
Filed under: uncultured bacterium
Lineage: Bacteria
Description: partial 16S ribosomal RNA
Rfam family: Bacterial small subunit ribosomal RNA
Source: RNAcentral
GACAGAGGGUGCAAACGUUGUUCGGAAUUACUGGGCGUAAAGCGAGUGUAGGCGGUUUGGUAAGUCGGAUGUGAAAGCCCCGGGCUCAACCCGGGAAGUGCACUCGAUACUGCCAGGCUAGAGUAUCGGAGAGGUUGGUGGAAUUCUCGGUGUAGAGGUGAAAUUCGUAGAUAUCGAGAGGAACACCGGUGGCGAAGGCGGCCAACUGGACGAAUACUGACGCUGAGACUCGAAAGCGUGGGGAGCAAACAGG